UACGGGGGGGGCAAGCGUUGUUCGGAAUUACUGGGCGUAAAGGGCUCGUAGGUGGCCAACUAAGUCAGACGUGAAAUCCCUCAGCUUAACUGGGGAACUGCGUCUGAUACUGGAUGGCUUGAGUUUGGGAGAGGGAUGCGGAAUUCCAGGUGUAGCGGUGAAAUGCGUAGAUAUCUGGAGGAACACCGGUGGCGAAGGCAGCUCUCUGGGACGGUACUGACGCUGAGACGCGAAAGCGUGGGGAGCGAACAGG
RNAcentral lists this ribosomal RNA (253 nucleotides) under uncultured bacterium. RNAcentral's name for it is "partial 16S ribosomal RNA". It matches the Rfam family "Bacterial small subunit ribosomal RNA", at positions 524 to 776 of the family's 1533-position model. The record is from RNAcentral.